GAUGAACGCUGGCGGCGUGCCUAAUACAUGCAAGUCGAGCGAACAGACGAGGAGCUUGCUCCUCUGACGUUAGCGGCGGACGGGUGAGUAACACGUGGAUAACCUACCUAUAAGACUGGGAUAACUUCGGGAAACCGGAGCUAAUACCGGAUAAUAUAUUGAACCGCAUGGUUCAAUAGUGAAAGACGGUUUUGCUGUCACUUAUAGGUGGAUCCGCGCCGCAUUAGCUAGUUGGUAAGGUAACGGCUUACCAAGGCGACGAUGCGUAGCCGACCUGAGAGGGUGAUCGGCCACACUGGAGCUGAGACACGGUCCAGACUCCUACGGGAGGCAGCAGUAGGGAAUCUUCCGCAAUGGGCGAAAGCCUGACGGAGCAACGCCGCGUGAGUGAUGAAGGUCUUCGGAUCGUAAAACUCUGUUAUUAGGGAAGAACAAAUGUGUAAGUAACUAUGCACGUCUUGACGGUACCUAAUCAGAAAGCCACGGCUAACUACGUG
This 497-nucleotide ribosomal RNA is filed under the name uncultured bacterium. RNAcentral describes it as "partial 16S ribosomal RNA". It matches the Rfam family "Bacterial small subunit ribosomal RNA", at positions 28 to 507 of the family's 1533-position model. The record is from RNAcentral.